UAUUAUCUUCCACUAAUCCUUGGGAGAACCUCUUUUCCCCCUCUCUAUAUGACAAUUAUUGUCCAUCUACCUGUAAUUCUUGUCAUUACUAGGCUACCAUUAUUAUUUAAUUUAACAAGACACCAUUUUAUUUCACUCACUAUAUUACCAAUCACCAAGUUAGGCACUUCUUAUUUUAACCCCCUCCUUAUUUUUUACUUUUCUAUAAUUGUAUUACCUUAUUCACUUCAUUUUCCAGAUGGAAAUCUCCCCCACCGUGAUUCCUAAUAUUUUCACAUUUCCUGGGGCUACUCCCAGUGUUAUGCCCUUUCCUAGUGCUAGUUCCAUCUCUAAGGUCUGGGGAUCGCCGCCUCAGGUUCCGGUGCUGAUCGAUUUUCGGCCUGCCACUAAUAUCCAGAUCCAUGACCAGACUCCACUAUGACCUGCAAACAUAUCCUGUGCAUCUGCUCCUGAAGAGUAGCGCUACAGCUACGAAACGCGUCGAGCUAAAUAGAUGCUUUUCCCUGCCAAUUUUUCAUCUUCAUCACCAUUACCAUGGUUUACUGGAACCUGCCAAUCUACAAUGCAUAAUGGAAAUAUGUUGCAAACUAGUCUGAUGUGGUUUUUAUGUUAUGAUUGUGGCUCUAGGCCAGCAGGCCAUCUUUGUGUCAUCAUGCUAUUCUGUUCUUUAUUAUGUACCAUGUUAUGGAAUAAAUGGUUUUAUUACCUUA
This is a long non-coding RNA of Rana temporaria (common frog), 710 nucleotides long. RefSeq lists it as uncharacterized. The record is from RefSeq and is a predicted model, not a curated record. The transcript is spliced from 2 exons. NCBI's taxonomy places the organism in Eukaryota, Metazoa, Chordata, Amphibia, Anura, Ranidae.